GUGUCAGCCGCCGCGGUAAUACGAAGGGUGCAAGCGUUACUCGGAAUUACUGGGCGUAAAGCGUGCGUAGGUGGUUCGUUAAGUCUGAUGUGAAAGCCCUGGGCUCAACCUGGGAAUGGCAUUGGAUACUGGCGACCUAGAGUGCGGUAGAGGGGUGUGGAAUUCCCGGUGUAGCAGUGAAAUGCGUAGAUAUCGGGAGGAACAUCUGUGGCGAAGGCGACACCCUGGACCAGCACUGACACUGAGGCACGAAAGCGUGGGGAGCAAACAGGAUUAGAUACCCUGGUAGUCCACGCCCUAAACGAUGCGAACUGGAUGUUGGGUGCAACUAGGCACUCAGUAUCGAAGCUAACGCGUUAAGUUCGCCGCCUGGGGAGUACGGUCGCAAGACUGAAACUCAAAGGAAUUGACGG
This 413-nucleotide ribosomal RNA is filed under the name uncultured bacterium. RNAcentral's name for it is "bacterial SSU rRNA". It matches the Rfam family "Bacterial small subunit ribosomal RNA", at positions 505 to 916 of the family's 1533-position model. The record is from RNAcentral.